CUGCCUCUUCCUGUGGAACCUGGGAUUCAAAGGGUGGGCCGGAAGUGCUCUAGCCAGGGGACUCUGGCCUUAUGGAGGAUCCCUGUUUCCUCCUUUUUUUUUUUUAAACCCUUUUCACCUAAUAAAACCCUGCUUUUCUCACCCUUUAAACUGUCUAUGAGCCUAAAUUUUCAUGGCCGUGGGACAGACAAGAACCCCAUCUUUGCUAAACCAAGGAAAAGUCCUGCAACAUUUUUGGCACGCAGAGUGGGGGCUGGAGAGGAGGCCAUCAAAUUCCAAACAGGCAACCAGAGCCUCUGAAGAUGGCCCCUUCUUCUGGGGAUCCUCACAUAGGCCUCGGAGGAAGCUCUGACUGCCGUUUCCCCAAAACAGCGCCCCCGUCUGCAGAAAGUGGUUAAGAUCAGAUUUGUCUUUUGAAAGAGCAUCUCUCAACCUAGUGUGUCUGGAAUUGGUGGGUUCUUGGUCUCGCUGACUUCAAGAAUGAAGCCGCGG
This 492-nucleotide long non-coding RNA is filed under the name Homo sapiens (human). RNAcentral's name for it is "HSALNT0093903". The record is from RNAcentral. Lineage: Eukaryota; Metazoa; Chordata; Mammalia; Primates; Hominidae.